RNAcentral lists this ribosomal RNA (253 nucleotides) under uncultured bacterium. Its description in RNAcentral is "partial 16S ribosomal RNA". It matches the Rfam family "Bacterial small subunit ribosomal RNA", at positions 524 to 776 of the family's 1533-position model. The record is from RNAcentral.
UACGGGGGGGGUAAGCGUUGUUCGGAAUUACUGGGCGUAAAGGGCUCGUAGGCGGCCAACUAAGUCGGACGUGAAAUCCCUCAGCUUAACUGGGGAACUGCGUCCGAUACUGGAUGGCUUGGAUUCGGGAGAGGAAUGCGGAAUUCCAGGUGUAGCGGUGAAAUGCGUAGAUAUCUGGAGGAGCACCGGUGGCGAAGGCGGCAUUCUGGACCGACAUUGACGCUGAGGAGCGAAAGCCAGGGGAGCAAACGGG